RNAcentral lists this unclassified non-coding RNA (366 nucleotides) under uncultured bacterium. RNAcentral's name for it is "contains 16S-23S intergenic spacer region". The record is from RNAcentral.
UGCGGCAGCCUUCCUCAUCGAUGCAGGGAGCAACAUCAAUGUACAGGCGGCCAACAAGGACUCACCCUGGCUCUUGGCGGGCGCGCUCGGCAGAACAGAGAUGCUGCGGCUCAUGAUCCCGAAGGGGCCAGACUUCUCUCUGCGCAAUCGCUUCGGAGGCAAUGCCUUGAUACCGGCCUGCGAACGCGCGCAUGUGGAGACCGUGAAGCUGCUUUUGACGACGAAGAUUGAUGUCAAUCACGUCAACAACCUCGGCUGGACAUGCCUCCUUGAGAUUGUGAUCCUCGGGGACGGUGGACCGCGACAUGUGGAAGUCGCAAAGCUUGUUCUCGCUGCCGGCGCUGAUCCGAAUAUUGCCGACAAGGA